GAUGAACGCUGGCGGCGUGCCUAAUACAUGCAAGUCGAGCGAACAGACGAGGAGCUUGCUCCUCUGACGUUAGCGGCGGACGGGUGAGUAACACGUGGAUAACCUACCUAUAAGACUGGGAUAACUUCGGGAAACCGGAGCUAAUUCCGGAUAAUAUAUUGAACCGCAUGGUUCAUUAGUGAAAGACGGUUUUGCUGUUACUUAUAGAUGGUUCCGCGCCGCAUUAGCUAGUUGGUAAGGUAACGGCUUACCAAGGCAACGAUGCGUAGCCGACCUGAGAGGGUGGUCGGCCACACUGGAACUGAGACACGGUCCAGACUCCUACGGGAGGCAGCAGUAGGGAAUCUUCCGCAAUGGGCGAAAGCUUGACGGAGCAACGCCGCGUGAGUGAUGAAGGUCUUCGGAUCGUAAAACUCUGUUAUUAGGGAAGAACAAAUGUGUAAGUAACUAUGCACGUCUUGACGGUACCUAAUCAGAAAGCCACGGCUAACUACGUG
Molecule: ribosomal RNA, 497 nt
Filed under: uncultured bacterium
Lineage: Bacteria
Description: partial 16S ribosomal RNA
Rfam family: Bacterial small subunit ribosomal RNA
Source: RNAcentral